Molecule: ribosomal RNA, 253 nt
Filed under: uncultured bacterium
Lineage: Bacteria
Description: partial 16S ribosomal RNA
Rfam family: Bacterial small subunit ribosomal RNA
Source: RNAcentral
UACGAAGGGGGCUAGCGUUGUUCGGAAUCACUGGGCGUAAAGCGCACGUAGGCGGACUCUUAAGUCGGUGGUGAAAUCCUGGAGCUCAACUCCAGAACUGCCUUCGAUACUGAGAGUCUUGAGUCCGGGAGAGGUGAGUGGAACUGCGAGUGUAGAGGUGAAAUUCGUAGAUAUUCGCAAGAACACCAGUGGCGAAGGCGGCUCACUGGCCCGGUACUGACGCUGAGGUGCGAAAGCGUGGGGAGCAAACAGG